RNAcentral lists this small nucleolar RNA (135 nucleotides) under Buceros rhinoceros silvestris. RNAcentral describes it as "Small nucleolar RNA SNORA33". It matches the Rfam family "Small nucleolar RNA SNORA33". From Rfam's summary of the family: ACA33 is a member of the H/ACA class of snoRNA that guide the sites of modification of uridines to pseudouridines. The record is from Rfam by way of RNAcentral. Lineage: Eukaryota; Metazoa; Chordata; Aves; Bucerotiformes; Bucerotidae.
AUACCAGUUCAAUGCGUCUGCUCAACUUGAAAAUGUUUUGCAGAGCAUAUUUUGAAAGGACACUGGUAAAGUAAAGCCACAGUACGAGCCUUGAAGACUUUGUUGUCUUUGAGGUCCCAAGAGAUGGCGACAUCA